AGAUGUAAGGGGGAUGUGGCUGAGAUGUCUGUCACCUCCUUUGAUCGCCAGGGUUGACUUGGCUGACCCGGCUGGCUAAGCGAGUGUCCUCUUCCUCCCUCACUGCCCCGUGGGUGUCCCUCCCCUAAGAUGUGUGCUCUGUCUAAGUAGGAAACCCUUCCCUGUAAAAGAGACCGACUGGUCCUUCCUGCGAGAAUAUACCAAGUAGAUGUAAAUCGCCUGCUAGACCAUCCAGACCAGCUCUAAUGUUUAACAUGAAUAAGAUGGCGAAUGGCCCCAACCAUUACUCACUCACUGUGAUCCCUCGUAAUUUAAGCUUGACCUACGGU
This 329-nucleotide small nuclear RNA is filed under the name Erinaceus europaeus (western European hedgehog). RNAcentral's name for it is "7SK RNA (ENSEEUG00000020239.1)". It matches the Rfam family "7SK RNA". Rfam says of the family: 7SK was discovered as an abundant small nuclear RNA in the mid-70s but a possible function has only recently been suggested. Two independent studies have found that 7SK RNA binds the CDK9/cyclin T complex (known as elongation factor P-TEFb). The record is from RNAcentral. Lineage: Eukaryota; Metazoa; Chordata; Mammalia; Eulipotyphla; Erinaceidae.